UACGUAGGGGGCAAGCGUUGUCCGGAUUUAUUGGGCGUAAGGAGCGUGUAGGCGGCCAGGUAGGUCUGCUGUGAAAACUCGAGGCUUAACCUCGAGAUGUCGGCGGAAACCAUCUGGCUAGAGUCCGGAAGAGGAGAAUGGAAUUCCCGGUGUAGCGGUGAAAUGCGCAGAUAUCGGGAAGAACACCCGUGGCGAAGGCGGAUCUCUGGGCCGAUACUGACGCUGAGGAGCGAAAGCGUGGGGAGUGAACAGG
Molecule: ribosomal RNA, 253 nt
Filed under: uncultured bacterium
Lineage: Bacteria
Description: partial 16S ribosomal RNA
Rfam family: Bacterial small subunit ribosomal RNA
Source: RNAcentral